AUACGUAGGGUGCGAGCGUUGUCCGGAUUUAUUGGGCGUAAAGAGCUCGUAGGCGGUUUGUCGCGUCGGCCGUGAAAACCUACAGCUUAACUGUGGGCUUGCGGUCGAUACGGGCAGACUUGAGUUCGGCAGGGGAGACUGGAAUUCCUGGUGUAGCGGUGAAAUGCGCAGAUAUCAGGAGGAACACCGGUGGCGAAGGCGGGUCUCUGGGCCGAUACUGACGCUGAGGAGCGAAAGCGUGGGGAGCGAACAGGAUUAGAUACCCUGGUAGUCCACGCCGUAAACGGUGGGCGCUAGGUGUGGGGACUGGUUCCACGGUUUCCGUGCCGUAGCUAACGCAUUAAGCGCCCCGCCUGGGGAGUACGGCCGCAAGGCUAAA
RNAcentral lists this ribosomal RNA (379 nucleotides) under uncultured bacterium. RNAcentral's name for it is "bacterial SSU rRNA". It matches the Rfam family "Bacterial small subunit ribosomal RNA", at positions 523 to 898 of the family's 1533-position model. The record is from RNAcentral.